UAGCCACAGCCCUCACCCUAACCUGAAGGAGGAGGAUUCAUGCAAGCUCACCCCUAAGCUAUAGUACACAGAGAGCCCUUAUCCCACAACACAGCACAAAACAACACCCC
This 110-nucleotide microRNA precursor is filed under the name Mus pahari (shrew mouse). RNAcentral's name for it is "microRNA 7k (MGP_PahariEiJ_G0007300.1)". The record is from RNAcentral. Lineage: Eukaryota; Metazoa; Chordata; Mammalia; Rodentia; Muridae.